This 2774-nucleotide ribosomal RNA is filed under the name human oral metagenome. RNAcentral's name for it is "bacterial LSU rRNA". It matches the Rfam family "Bacterial large subunit ribosomal RNA", at positions 1 to 2567 of the family's 2925-position model. The record is from RNAcentral.
UUUUUGUUUUUGGGGCGCAUGGUGGAUGCCUGGGUAUGCUAAGCCGAUGAAGGACGUGAUAGGCUGCGUUAAGCCUCGGGGAGUUGCCUGAUGAGCGUUGAUCCGAGGGUGUCCGAAUGGGGAAACCCGGCCAUGGUUAUGUGUGGUCACCCGCCAGUGAAGAAAAUAGUUGGUUGGGGGGUUACGCGGGGAAGUGAAACAUCUUAGUACCCGUAGGAGGAGAAAACAAGAGUGAUUCUGCUAGUAGUGGCGAGCGAACGUGGAUAAGGCUAAACCGUGUGCGUGUGAUACCGGGUAGGGGUUACGCAUGCGGGGUUGCAGGAGCACAGCGGACCAGUUCUACCUCAGCUGGUGCUGUUGUUGGUGUGUGUUAGUGGAAGUGGUGUGGAAUCGCCUGCCAGAGACGGUGAGAGUCCGGUACACGAAAACACACGCGAACGGGGUUGUUGUGUUUCCUGAGUAGCGGCGGGCUCGUGGAAUCUGUCGUGAAUUUGCCGGGACCACCCGGUAAGCCUAAAUACUUAGCAUGACCGAUAGUGGAAUAGUACCGUGAGGGAAUGGUGAAAAGUACCCCGGGAGGGGAGUGAAAGAGUACCUGAAACCGGGCGCCUGCGAGCCGUCAGGGCCUGGCUGUCUCGUGCUUCCUGGUAUGGGGGGUGCGGGGGCUGGGUGGUGGCGUGCCUAUUGAAGAAUGAGCCUGCGAGUCGUGCUGUGUGGCGAGGUUAACCCGUGUGUGGGGUAGCCGUAGCGAGAGCGAGUCCUAGGUGGGCGUGUGAGUCGUGUGGUGCGGACCCGAAGCGGGGUGAUCUACCCAUGGCCAGGUUGAGGCGCGUGUAAGAGCGUGUGGAGGACCGUACCCGCCUGGGUUGAAAACCGGGGGGAUGAGCUGUGGGUAGGGGUGAAAGGCCAAUCAGACUCCGUGAUAGCUGGUUCUCCCCGAAAUGCAUUUUGGUGCAGCGUCGUGUCCUGCCCGGCGGAGGUAGAGCUACUGGGUGGCUGAGGGGCCCUGCAGGGUUACCGGGGUCAGCCAAACUCCGAAUGCCGUCUGGGUAGCGGGUGCGGCAGUGAGACUGCGGGGGAUAAGCUUCGUGGUCGAGAGGGAAACAGCCCGGACCGUCGGCUAAGGCCCCUAAGCGUGCGCUAAGUGGGAAAGGAUGUGCGGUCGCGCAGACAGCCAGGAGGUUGGCUUAGAAGCAGCCAUCCUUGAAAGAGUGCGUAAUAGCUCACUGGUCGAGUGGUUCUGCGCCGAUAAUGUAGCGGGGCUUAAGCACACCGCCGAAACCGCGGCAACACACGCGAAAGUGUGUUGGGUAGGGGAGCGUCGUGCAUGUGUUGAAGCUAGCUGGUGACAGGUGGUGGAGUGUGUGCGAGUGAGAAUGCAGGCAUGAGUAACGAUUGAUGUGUGAGAAACAUAUCCGCCGGAUGACUAAGGGUUCCUGGGUGAAGUUUGUCUUCCCAGGGUGAGUCGGGGCCUAAGGCGAGGCCGACAGGCGUAGUCGAUGGAUGACGGGUUGAUAUUCCCGUACCCGUGUGCGUGCGACAAGUGAUGAAUCUUAUGGUACUAACCGCCCGCCUGCGUGCACUAAUCUUUUUGGUUGGUGUGUGUGGGUGCGUGGGAUCUUCGUGGGUAGUAGUCAAGUGAUGGGGUGACGCAGAGUGGUAGCUAGGCUUCCUUAUUGGAUUGGAGUGCAAGCGUGUGGCCUGUGGGGUUGGGAAAUCCGCCCCGCAUAGAAGGGUGAGGCGUGAUGCGGACACCAUGAUUGUGGUGGUAGUUAGUGUGCCUGUGCUGUCGAGAAAAGCCUCUAGCGAGUGCGUGCAUGGCCCGUACCGGAAACCGACACAGGUGGUCAGGUAGAGAAUACUAAGGCGUUCGGGUGAACUGUGGUUAAGGAACUCGGCAAAAUGCCCCCGUAACUUCGGGAGAAGGGGGACCAUUACUAGUUGCUGACAGCAAGAAAGCUGGUGGUGGUCGCAGAGGAGAGAGGGAAGCGACUGUUUAUUAAAAACACAGGUCCGUGCGAAAACGUGGAAGUUGAGGUAUACGGACUGACGCCUGCCCGGUGCUGGAAGGUUAAGAGGACCCGUGAGCACGCCUUAUGUGUGUGCGAGGCGGAGAAUUGAAGCCCCAGUAAACGGCGGUGGUAACUAUAACCAUCCUAAGGUAGCGAAAUUCCUUGUCGGGUAAGUUCCGACCUGCACGAAUGGCGUAACGACUUCCCUGCUGUCUCAACCACAGGCCCGGUGAAAUUGCAGUACGAGUAAAGAUGCUCGUUUCGCGCGGCAGGACGAAAAGACCCCGGGACCUUUACUAUAGCUUGGUAUUGGUGUUUGGUCAUGCUUGUGUAGGAUAGGUGGGAGACUGUGAAGCCGCAACGCUAGUUGUGGUGGAGUCGGUAAGUGAAAUACCACUCUGGUGUGAUUGGGUACCUGAACCUUGGCCCGUGAUCCGGGUUGGGGACAGUGCCUGGUGGGUAGUUUAACUGGGGCGGUUGCCUCCUAAAUGGUAACGGAGGCGCCCAAAGGUUUCCUCAGUCUGGUUGGCAAUCAGAUGGUGAGUGUAAGUGUAUAAGGGAGCUUGACUGUGACACUGACGGGUGGAGCAGGUGCGAAAGCAGGGACUAGUGAUCCGGCAUCUACGUGUGGUUGUGGUGUCGCUCAACGGAUAAAAGGUACCCCGGGGAUAACAGGCUGAUCUUCCCCAAGAGUUCAUAUCGACGGGAUGGUUUGGCACCUCGAUGUCGGCUCGUCGCAUCCUGGGGCUGGAGUAGGUCCCA